Molecule: ribosomal RNA, 557 nt
Filed under: Papiliotrema terrestris
Lineage: Eukaryota; Fungi; Basidiomycota; Tremellomycetes; Tremellales; Rhynchogastremaceae
Description: eukaryotic LSU rRNA
Rfam family: Eukaryotic large subunit ribosomal RNA
Source: RNAcentral
AGCUCAAAUUUGAAAUCUGGCGUGCUCAGUGCGUCCGAGUUGUAAUCUAUAGAGGCGUUUUCCGUGCCGGACUGUGUCUAAGUCCCUUGGAACAGGGUAUCAAAGAGGGUGAUAAUCCCGUACUUGACACAAUGACCGGUGCUCUGUGAUACGUCUUCUACGAGUCGAGUUGUUUGGGAAUGCAGCUCAAAAUGGGUGGUGAGUUCCAUCUAAAGCUAAAUAUUGGCGAGAGACCGAUAGCGAACAAGUACCGUGAGGGAAAGAUGAAAAGCACUUUGGAAAGAGAGUUAAACAGUACGUGAAAUUGUUGAAAGGGAAACGAUUGAAGUCAGUCGUGACUGAGAGGCUCAGCCGGUUCUGCCGGUGUAUUCCCCUCAGUCGGGUCAACAUCAGUUUUGUUCGGUGGAUAAGGGCAGCUGGAAGGUGGCACCUCCGGGUGUGUUAUAGCCAGCUGUCGCAUACAUCGAAUGAGACUGAGGAAUGCAGCUCGCCUUUAUGGCCGGGGUUCGCCCACGUCCGAGCUUAGGAUGUUGACAUAAUGGCUUUAAACGACCCGU